AUUGAACGAUGGCGGCAUGCUUUACACAUGCAAGUCGAACGGUAACAGGCCGCAAGGUGCUGACGAGUGGCGAACGGGUGAGUAAUGCAUCGGAACGUGCCCAGUCGUGGGGGAUAACUACUCGAAAGAGUAGCUAAUACCGCAUACGAUCUAUGGAUGAAAGCGGGGGACCGUAAGGCCUCGCGCGAUUGGAGCGGCCGAUGUCAGAUUAGGUAGUUGGUGGGGUAAAGGCUCACCAAGCCAACGAUCUGUAGCUGGUCUGAGAGGACGACCAGCCACACUGGGACUGAGACACGGCCCAGACUCCUACGGGAGGCAGCAGUGGGGAAUUUUGGACAAUGGGCGCAAGCCUGAUCCAGCAAUGCCGCGUGCAGGAAGAAGGCCUUCGGGUUGUAAACUGCUUUUGUGCGGAACGAAACGGCUCUGGUUAAUACCCGGGGCUAAUGACGGUACCGUAAGAAUAAGCACCGGCUAACUACGUG
This 482-nucleotide ribosomal RNA is filed under the name uncultured bacterium. Its description in RNAcentral is "partial 16S ribosomal RNA". It matches the Rfam family "Bacterial small subunit ribosomal RNA", at positions 30 to 507 of the family's 1533-position model. The record is from RNAcentral.